AGAGUUUGAUCAUGGCUCAGGAUGAACGCUAGCGGCAGGCCUAAUACAUGCAAGCCGAACGGUAACUCUGAUAGCAAUAUUAGAGCUAGAGUGGCGUAAGGGUGCGUAACACGUAUGCAAUCUGCCCGCAACAGGAGGAUAGCUCCCCGAAAGGGGAAUUAAUACUCCAUAACACCAUUUGAGGGCAUCUGAAGAUGGUUAAACUACAAGGGGUUGCGGAUGAGCAUGCGGUUGAUUAGCUAGUUGGUAGUGUAACGGACUACCAAGGCAAUGAUCAAUAGGGGAACUGAGAGGUUUAUCCCCCACACUGGCACUGAGAUACGGGCCAGACUCCUACGGGAGGCAGCAGUAGGGAAUAUUGGACAAUGGGCGAGAGCCUGAUCCAGCCAUGCCGCGUGCAGGAAGAAGGCCUUCUGGGUUGUAAACUGCUUUUGCCAGGGGAUAAAAAGUCCCUGCGGGGAAAAUUGAAGGUACCUGGUGAAUAAGCCACGGCUAACUACGUGCCAGCAGCCGCGGUAAUACGUAGGUGGCAAGCGUUGUCCGGAUUUAUUGGGUUUAAAGGGUGCGUAGGCGGUUUAAUAAGUCAGUGGUGAAAUACGGCAGCUCAACUGUCGAGGUGCCAUUGAUACUGUUAGACUUGAGUACAGACGAGGUAGGCGGAAUUGACGGUGUAGCGGUGAAAUGCUUAGAUAUCGUCAAGAACACCGAUAGCGAAGGCAGCUUACUAGGCUGUAACUGACGCUGAGGCACGAAAGUGUGGGGAUCAAACAGGAUUAGAUACCCUAGUAGUCC
RNAcentral lists this ribosomal RNA (792 nucleotides) under uncultured bacterium. Its description in RNAcentral is "bacterial SSU rRNA". It matches the Rfam family "Bacterial small subunit ribosomal RNA", at positions 8 to 796 of the family's 1533-position model. The record is from RNAcentral.